UACGAAGGGGGGCUAGCGUUGCUCGGAAUGACUGGGCGUGAAGGGCGCGUAGGCGGAUUAUUCAGUCAGGCGUGAAAUUCCUGGGCUCAACCUGGGGACUGCGUUUGAGACGGGUAGUCUUGAGUUCGGAAGAGGGUCGUGGAAUUCCCAGUGUAGAGGUGAAAUUCGUAGAUAUUGGGAAGAACACCGGUGGCGAAGGCGGCGACCUGGUCCGAUACUGACGCUGAGGCGCGAAAACGUGGGGGAGCAAACAGGAUUAGAUACCCUGGUAGUCCACGCUGUAAACGAUGUGUGCUGGAUGUUGGGUGACCUAGUCACUCAGUGUCGUAGCUAACGCGAUAAGCACACCGCCUGGGGAGUACGGCCGCAAGGUUGAAACUC
Molecule: ribosomal RNA, 381 nt
Filed under: uncultured bacterium
Lineage: Bacteria
Description: bacterial SSU rRNA
Rfam family: Bacterial small subunit ribosomal RNA
Source: RNAcentral